CAGCCGCCGCGGUAAUACGUAGGGUGCAAGCGUUAAUCGGAAUUACUGGGCGUAAAGCGUGCGCAGGCGGUUAUAUAAGACAGAUGUGAAAUCCCCGGGCUCAACCUGGGAACUGCAUUUGUGACUGUAUAGCUAGAGUACGGCAGAGGGGGAUGGAAUUCCGCGUGUAGCAGUGAAAUGCGUAGAUAUGCGGAGGAGCACCGAUGGCGAAGGCAAUCCCCUGGGCCUGUACUGACGCUCAUGCACGAAAGCGUGGGGAGCAAACAGGAUUAGAUACCCCUGUAGUCCCUGUCUCUUAUAC
Molecule: ribosomal RNA, 301 nt
Filed under: uncultured bacterium
Lineage: Bacteria
Description: partial 16S ribosomal RNA
Rfam family: Bacterial small subunit ribosomal RNA
Source: RNAcentral